GUGGGGAAUCUUGCGCAAUGGGCGAAAGCCUGACGCAGCCAUGCCGCGUGAAUGAUGAAGGUCUUAGGAUUGUAAAAUUCUUUCACCGGGGACGAUAAUGACGGUACCCGGAGAAGAAGCUCCGGCUAACUUCGUGCCAGCAGCCGCGGUAAUACGGAGGGUGCAAGCGUUAUCCGGAUUCUCUGGGCUUAAAGGUUGCGUAUGCGGAUAAAUAAGUCAGUGGUGAAAUCAACGGGCUCAACCUGUUAACUGCCAUUGAUACUGUGUAUCUUGAAUAUGAGAGAGGUAGGCGGAAUGUUGCAUGUAGCGGUGAAAUGCUUAGAUAUGCUACGGAACACCGAUUGCGAAGGCAGCUUACUAUUUCGUAAUUGACGCUGAGGCACGAAAGCGUGGGUAGCGAACAGGAUUAGAAACCCGAGUAGUCC
This 425-nucleotide ribosomal RNA is filed under the name uncultured bacterium. Its description in RNAcentral is "partial 16S ribosomal RNA". It matches the Rfam family "Bacterial small subunit ribosomal RNA", at positions 354 to 796 of the family's 1533-position model. The record is from RNAcentral.